CUACUAGUAUAAAAAGUCACAGAAAUAGAUGAUAUUUGUGCAACUAACUCACAAAGGAAGCAAUUCAUUAGACCCAGCGGUGAGAGGCUGUCUGUGGUCAGAUCCCUGUCUGCUUUCAUAAUGGAAAAAAAAAUCCCAAUUGGCUCCAUUCGAUAACCAAAAUGUAACUGUUUGGGUUAUUCACGAAAGUGUCACCUGAUGGAAUUAAAAAAAUGUAAAAUAAAUAAUAGGCCAAAAUAGUGACGAC
Molecule: non-coding RNA, 247 nt
Organism: Pelobates cultripes (western spadefoot toad)
Lineage: Eukaryota; Metazoa; Chordata; Amphibia; Anura; Pelobatidae
Source: the annotation of a GenBank genome assembly